This 433-nucleotide ribosomal RNA is filed under the name uncultured bacterium. RNAcentral's name for it is "partial 16S ribosomal RNA". It matches the Rfam family "Bacterial small subunit ribosomal RNA", at positions 29 to 507 of the family's 1533-position model. The record is from RNAcentral.
AGCGAACGCUGGCGGCAGGCCUAACACAUGCAAGUCGAACGAACUCUUCGGAGUUAGUGGCGGACGGGUGAGUAACACGUGGGAACGUGCAUUUAGGUUCGGAAUAACUAAGGGAAACUUGAGCUAAUACCGGAUGUGCCCUUAGGGGGAAAGAUUUAUCGCCUUUAGAGCGGCCCGCGUCUGAUUAGCUAGUUGGUGAGGUAAAGGCUCCCCAAGGCGACGAUCAGUAGCUGGUCUGAGAGGAAGAUCAGCCACUUUGGGACUGAGACACGGCCCAAACUCCUACGGGAUGGACGAAUGGGGGAUGCUGCGAAAUGGGCGAAAGCCUGACGCAGCCAUGCCGCGUGAAUGAUGAAGGUCUUAGGAUUGUAAAAUUCUUUCACCGGGGACGAUAAUGACGGUACCCGGAGAAGAAGCCCCGGCUAACUUCGUG